Molecule: ribosomal RNA, 395 nt
Filed under: uncultured bacterium
Lineage: Bacteria
Description: bacterial SSU rRNA
Rfam family: Bacterial small subunit ribosomal RNA
Source: RNAcentral
GAUUAACGCUAGCGGCAGGCCUAAUACAUGCAAGUCGAACGGCAAGAUUUGUAGCAAUACGAGUCCUAGAGUAGCGUAAGGGUGCGUAACACGUAUGCAAUCUACCCGCAACAGGAGGAUAGCUCUUCGAAAGAGGAAUUAAGACUCCAUAAUACCAUUUGAGGGCAUCUGAGGAUGGUUAAACUACAAGGGGUUGUGGAUGAGCAUGCGUCUGAUUAGUUAGUUGGCGGGGUAACGGCCCACCAAGACGAUGAUCAGUAGGGGAACUGAGAGGUUGGUCCCCCACACUGGCACUGAGAUACGGGCCAGACUCCUACGGGAGGCAGCAGUAGGGAAUAUUGGACAAUGGGUGCAAGCCUGAUCCAGCCAUGCCGCGUGCAGGAAGACGGCCUUCU